This 449-nucleotide ribosomal RNA is filed under the name uncultured bacterium. RNAcentral's name for it is "partial 16S ribosomal RNA". It matches the Rfam family "Bacterial small subunit ribosomal RNA", at positions 354 to 796 of the family's 1533-position model. The record is from RNAcentral.
GUCGAGAAUCUUUCACAAUGGGGGCAACCCUGAUGGAGCGACGCCGCGUGGAGGAUAAGGUCUUCGGAUUGUAAACUCCUGUCAUGCGUGAACAAGGUUGCUUGGUUAAUACCUGGGCAAAUUGAUGGUAACGCAAGAGGAAGAGACGGCUAACUCUGUGCCAGCAGCCGCGGUAAUACAGAGGUCUCAAGCGUUGUUCGGAAUCACUGGGCGUAAAGGGUGCGUAGGUGGCGUGGUAAGUCAGAUGUGAAAGCCCGGGGCUCAACCUCGGAACUGCAUCCGAUACUGCCAUGCUAGAGUACUGGAGAGGUGACUAGAAUUCUCGGUGUAGCAGUGAAAUGCGUAGAUAUCGAGAGGAAUACCAAAGGCGUAGGCAGGUCACUGGACAGUUACUGACACUGAGGCACGAAGGCCAGGGGAGCGAACGGGAUUAGAUACCCUUGUAGUCC